This 483-nucleotide ribosomal RNA is filed under the name Veillonella sp. oral taxon 158. RNAcentral's name for it is "bacterial SSU rRNA". It matches the Rfam family "Bacterial small subunit ribosomal RNA", at positions 28 to 480 of the family's 1533-position model. Lineage: Bacteria; Bacillati; Bacillota; Negativicutes; Veillonellales; Veillonellaceae. The record is from RNAcentral.
GACGAACGCUGGCGGCGUGCUUAACACAUGCAAGUCGAACGAAGAGCGAUGGAAGCUUGCUUCUAUCAAUCUUAGUGGCGAACGGGUGAGUAACGCGUAAUCAACCUGCCCUUCAGAGGGGGACAACAGUUGGAAACGACUGCUAAUACCGCAUACGAUCCAACCUCGGCAUCGAGGAUGGAUGAAAGGUGGCCUCUAUUUAUAAGCUAUCACUGAAGGAGGGGAUUGCGUCUGAUUAGCUAGUUGGAGGGGUAACGGCCCACCAAGGCAAUGAUCAGUAGCCGGUCUGAGAGGAUGAACGGCCACAUUGGGACUGAGACACGGCCCAGACUCCUACGGGAGGCAGCAGUGGGGAAUCUUCCGCAAUGGACGAAAGUCUGACGGAGCAACGCCGCGUGAGUGAUGACGGCCUUCGGGUUGUAAAGCUCUGUUAAUCGGGACGAAAGGUCCUCUUGCGAAUAGUUAGAGGAAUUGACGGUACCG